RNAcentral lists this ribosomal RNA (486 nucleotides) under uncultured bacterium. Its description in RNAcentral is "bacterial SSU rRNA". It matches the Rfam family "Bacterial small subunit ribosomal RNA", at positions 30 to 507 of the family's 1533-position model. The record is from RNAcentral.
AUUGAACGCUGGCGGCAUGCUUUACACAUGCAAGUCGAACGGCAGCACGGGUGCUUGCACCUGGUGGCGAGUGGCGGACGGGUGAGUAAUGCAUCGGAACGUGUCCUGAAGUGGGGGAUAACGCAUCGAAAGAUGUGCUAAUACCGCAUAUUCUCUGAGGAGGAAAGUAGGGGAUCGAAAGACCUUAUGCUUUUGGAGCGGCCGAUGUCUGAUUAGCUAGUUGGUAGGGUAAUGGCUUACCAAGGCGACGAUCAGUAGUUGGUCUGAGAGGACGACCAGCCACACUGGGACUGAGACACGGCCCAGACUCCUACGGGAGGCAGCAGUGGGGAAUUUUGGACAAUGGGCGCAAGCCUGAUCCAGCAAUGCCGCGUGAGUGAAGAAGGCCUUCGGGUUGUAAAGCUCUUUCAGUUGAGAAGAAAAAGUCGCGACUAAUAAUCAUGAUUCAUGACGGUAUCAACAGAAGAAGCACCGGCUAACUACGUG